UCCCGGUUUCCCGGGCAGUUCCAUCAGAGUGCCCAAAAAUGGUAGCAACUGAUAGCAGGAGUUGCGCUCGUUAUAGGACUUAACCCAACAUCUCACGACACGAGCUGACGACAGCCAUGCAGCACCUGUGUACCCGUCUAGGCAAAGCCUAGAAGAUUGUAUUUCUACAACUGUCAAGUACAUGUCAAGCCCAGGUAAGGUUCCUCGCGUAGUGUCGAAUUAAACCACAUGUUCCACCGCUUGUGCGGGCCCCCGUCAAUUCUUUUGAGUUUUAGUCUUGCGACCGUACUUCCCAGGCGGAUCACUUAGCGCGUUAGCUACGACACUGAUUCCGCGAAGCGAAAUCAACAUCAAGUGAUCAUCGUUUACGGCGUGGACUAC
This 381-nucleotide unclassified non-coding RNA is filed under the name uncultured bacterium. Its description in RNAcentral is "contains 16S-23S intergenic spacer region". The record is from RNAcentral.